RNAcentral lists this long non-coding RNA (1015 nucleotides) under Glycine max (soybean). Its description in RNAcentral is "long non-coding RNA (GMAX_LNC002712)". The record is from RNAcentral. Lineage: Eukaryota; Viridiplantae; Streptophyta; Magnoliopsida; Fabales; Fabaceae.
AAACAAAAAUGUGGAACAAUUAGAAAAUAGGGUGUAACUAAAUUAAAUUGCAGUCAGUCUCGCUAAUAAUAAUACAGAUACAUGUCAAAAUACAUUAAGCAUGAUACAUAUUGCAAAAAAAAUCUCUUCAAGCCUUGUGAAACUUCAGAUGCCAAUGCCAUACUUAAUCAGCUACAAAAGAGAAGAGUAUGAAGUGAUUAGUUAAAUAAAUAAAUAAAUACACUCCUAAUUCAUAACCAUCUUCAACAGAGAUCAGCUUCCAACAAUAAGAGAUGUGUAAAAUAUACAUUUUUAAAAAAGAAAUAGUUGAAUCAUACUUAAUAAAUAAAAAUAUAGCAUAAUUAUAUUUAUAUCCACACACACACAAAAGCAUUAACAAACAACAGAAAUGCACAAAACACACGGCAACGACAAUUCAAACGAGAAAUUAAAAAAAAUAGGGAAUGAUAAAUUUGGAGAGCCCGCGUGGCCAUCACUGCCCUCAAGCAAUGUGAAACAGAGAAAGGGGCUCUGACCGCGGGCAGUCUUCAUUGCAGGGUUCCAACGGCGAAUUCCAUCUUUCAGUCGCGGGGACUCUGGGGGCAGAGCCGCCAUUAAAGGAGGCUCCGCCGUCACCGUCCCCGCUGCGAGUGAAAGGAUCGGAAAGGGAACAACCGCGCCGUGGCUUCCUCUGCUCAGAUAAGAUCAAGUAGUGUUGAGGUUCUGUUUAGGGUUUGUGCUCUGAUUAAAUACUACCACCACCCACCAAUCCGUCUUACUCAUAUUCCCAAAAUACCCUUGCCAUUAAAUCAACCCACGCUCCCUCCUUUAUAAAUUGUAAAAAAAUUCAAUUAAAUAAAAUACACCGUAAAAGUUAGGCAUAAUUUCUAAUGUGCAUUUUUUAGGUGUUUCUAAUGUUAUUUUAUAAUCAAAAUUUAAAAUUCAUUUCGAUAAUUUGCCGUUAAAAAUUAACGCAGGUUAUAAAAGUGAAAGCUUAAUAUUAUUGGAAAAAUAAUAUUACAGACAUAUGGUAAAU